AUUUAACAGGGUGUUGUCAACUUAAUAAAUUGGAGGAGCUCGAUUGGAGUAGAAAUAUCUAUGUAGAAUUACUUCCAUCAUGUCUAGAGAACAUGACAUCUCUUCCGAAUGAUCAAGGCCUCAAGGAAUAAGUUCUGUGGAGAUAUUGAUGUGUCUUUGCUGUCGAAACUUACACCAGUCAAACAAUUCCAUUUCAAAUAAAAUUCACAUGCCCAUUUUCUUUGAGGCUUUAUUUACUCCCUCAAGUCUUUGUUUCAUAUUUGCCAAAGAAAAUGAAGUAAUAGCAAGUAUUGUGUUAUGAAAAUGGGUCCCUAACUUCCAACAAGAAGUUUUCAGUUGGUUAAAUUGCCAUCUAACUCUACCUCAUUUUUUGGGAAUUCUUGAUCUCUCACGUCACAACUUGGGGAGAAAUUAGCCAAUUCGUUAAAGAACAACACUAGACUCAAAGGAGCCUACUUUAGAGAUAAUGCUUUUAGGGGAACUCUCAAGUUGCCAGCAAGUACCAAUCUCAAUAUGGAGACUUUUGAUAUUUCUAAUAAUAAAUUUAUUGGACAUAUUCCAACUAAUAUAAGUGUAAUAAUUCCAAAUUUAAUUCCAAUAAACAUGUCCAAAAUAUGCUUAAUCGUUGUGUAAAUGUUAUGUCAAAGGUCCAAUCGAUUUCAUACAUAAACACUUUCAAUACGAUUAAAUUAAAUUAAUUACUUUCAUACAUAAACACUUUCAAUAUUUUCCAUAUAUUUAUGGAAAAUAUAUCAUUUAAUUGAAUUAUUAUUCUGAUAAAUUAAAUUAAUAAAGUUCAUAGAUUUAAAUUUUGAUAACGUGUUAAUCAGAAUGAGUUGUGACCGUGAAAACAAAUUACAUAUGACUGAAUUUAAAAUUAUACAUAGUAGUAAAUAAUAACAAGAAACGAAUAUCGAUACUAUGGAUAAACCAACACGUUUGGCAUUUCUCACUUAUGCUGUGAGUAGCUAAUAUUUAAAUGGAUAUGUGGAUAUUUUAUUAAGAGAUUUCACGUGGAUAACCAUUCGAGAAUCGGUGGUUAAUCUCCAAUGUUCAAUAGUGUAAUAGGUCCUUAGACUUGAUGUCAUUAUAGUGACUUAUAUGAAGACAGUCAUAUUUUGGUGGUGUCGGUCAUCCUGAAUCACCCUAAUGUAUCCAAAAUGUGACCUGCAUCGAUGAUAGAUGCUGACUAAAUAUCAGAUCUACCACCAAGGCUGACUAUGAGUCACUAAUAAUUAUUAUCCAAAAUAAGAUAAUUAUCAAUAAGAAAUAAUGCAAUGGCCCAAAAUAAUUAUUUCAUGCUUUAUUAAAAUGACUCAUAUCACUCAACCCCUGUUUAGCCUCCAUUAAAACUCAUCAAUUUAAUUUAAAUUUUUUUCUCUCUUAUUUUCAACCACAUAAUGUUCAAUAAAAUAAUUACAUGCAAAUCGAAAAUUUUUCAUUCUUUUGCAACCAUUCAUUUUUCAGAGGAAUACCAUUCCCCCAUUAUAAAUCCAAAUAAUGGGGCCAAACAAAGGCUCAAUAUGCCAUCUAGCUUUAACUCCGAAAUCAUCGGGCUCCUUAAGCCAUCAAGAACCAAUUGCUACUUAUAAGAAAAAUCAUGGGAAAAUAUAUAAGCUAAUAGCUUAGCGAGUGAAAUUUUUGAAAUAUUUAUACUUUCUCAUUUGUACAUAUUUAUCGAAACUCGAGUUCAUGUCAUUUAAUAAUUCAUAGAAUAACUUCAUAUAGUUAUAGCCAAAAAAUGAGAUAUUCUCAUAAUUUUGCAAAAUAUCAUCUCAUCCCAUCACAUGUAAUCCACCAAAAAAUGUACUAUUUGACUGAAAUUUGUAAUCCGCUCCUCGGGCCAAGCGCUUUCGCCAUGAGCCUUUGGCCUCUUUCCUGAAUGAAAAAGCGGAUUUCAAAGAUCAAUUCUAGAACACAAUCAAGGCCCUUCUAUAAACUGUAUGUAAACAGUCAAGACCUGUGUAAGAUAGAAUAUGGCCAAGGCUCCUCUGUGAACUAAAAAAAGUAUAUAAUCAUGGGUACUCUUCUAGUCGAUCUUGAUAUCACAUGUAUCACCUUCCAGUUCACAAUUAAUCCAUAUACAAUCUUUGAAUUCCAUAUAUAUCACAGUGGAAGAACAUUUCCGUAUCAAUAAUGUAACUAAACAAAUAAUUCACAUAAUCACACGUAAUAUAAUAGUAUAAGUACUUCAUAAAUAUUUGAAAAUAUAUAAGUUUUUCCACUCAACAAUUUGUAGAUCGAUCGUGACUUCAAAAUUCUCAUCACCUCCUCACGUUCAAAUACCAAAGCACUCGUCCCAAGAUAUCAUACCUCCUCACUAAAGUGCUUUGAGCAUUUUUCCUACCAUUAGAAAUAGAAAUAAUAAUUUACUAAUAAGAACUUGGAGUCUUAUUAUCAGUGUAAUGUCAUAAUACCAAUUAGAGUCACUAAUAACAUAUCCACCUUUAUAUAAGUUAUUUCAACAGCUAAUUCCCAGUAUUUAACGCUUAAUUUGGUUCUCAUACUAAAAAUCCAAGAAAAUCAAAAUAUUAUCAAAACCAGCACUGUAUUUCAAGACUAUUGAAAUGUGGCACCAAAUUCUGUAUAUUGGAAAGUAUCACCGAAACCAUUAAUAGAAAUAGCACUUUCUGGAAAUCAAAAUAUUAUGAAAACCAGCACUUCUUUUUUCUCUCUUUCUUUCCUUUUCUUCUCCCGUUUUUCCCUUUCUUGAUUUCUUUCUCCUUCUAGUUUCUUCCUUUGUAAAAUGAACCCCUUUCCUUUUAUUUUAAAAGAUUAAUACAAUGUAAAUGAAAAUCAAAUCCUUAGUCUUCUUACAAUAUAACUUUUAGCCCUUAGUAAUAGAGAACUAAGUCCAUUAAUUCCUAUUUUAUUUUAUCUCUAGCCCUUUUCAUGUAUUAGUAAUUAAAAAUUAAGUCCCAUGAAAUUAUUUGUUCAACUUAAAUCCUUAUUUUGACCGACUUUGACCCAUUGAAUUUUUUCCUCGACUUUGAUUAAAUAAUUUGUUGACUUUGACCAUAAUGAGUGGGGUGUAACAUUGGAUGUUGCUUUACCAGGAGUCACCAAUAUGACAUCGUUUAGGUAUGUUAAAAAUCAUAUAAAUGUUGUGAAUGAUCAAUAGAGAAUUCGAUACUCUUAGAUAGUAAGAGAUUAUAUUUAUGUUCCAUUCAGUUAAGUUGAUAUCGAAAUAAUUGUCCAAGGUAAGUAUGUAAGUUGAAAAGAGUUUCGAUUAUCAUUGUUUUAAGAGUUGAAUAAAAGAUAUGAUCUAUAGUCGACAUUCGCAAACUUUCAUAUCUCACAAUUGAUCGAAUCACAUAGGCAAAGGGAUUAUAAUCUAAUGGUAAACCGACAAAUUUGAUUUUUUUUGUACCAUGUGAUAUUUUCAUCACGUGUAAUGCCCUUACAUAUUGUGGAACAAUGACUAUGAAUUAAUUAAGCUAGAAAAAUUAAUGAUAAAUUAAAAAGAAGUUUAUUUUUUCUUAUUUUAAUUAUAUCAAAAUAAUAAUUCAUGUCAUUCGAUAUCAUGAUCAGAACUCCUUAGAAUUCCACAUAAAAGGGAGAACUAGUAGAAUGAUAUUAUAAAUUAAAUAAUUGAAAAGUGUUGGACAUUUAUAAAAUUAAUUAUUUGGAUUGUUUAUUAAUGGAUAUGGACUUCAGUUAAUUGAUUAGAUUAAUUAACUCAUAGAACAAGUUUAACUAAAUAGAUUAAUUAAAUAUGUGGAAAUUACGCCACCCACCUUAUUUGUAGUAAAUAUUUAAAAAAUACUAUGUUAUCUUUUAUUUCAAUAAAUGAUGUAUUUUGUUAAUAAAAUGAACACAUUGAAGAUUUCUAAAUUAAAAGAAUAUUAAAUUAGGUAAAAUAUUUUACUCAUUUAAACACGCCUUUACAUCUAAUACAUUUUGAUUUCUAUAAACAUGCUCGUGUCAAAUGGUGUGAUUAGCCCAAAUGUGUUCAUUCCGUUUAUUACAACUACGUUUGCGUGAUCUCUGCUUGCGAUACAAUAACAGGGAUGACUGUAUUAUACAUAUUAGCUGAAAAUUAUUCGAAAUCAAAUAUCAUAUAAUCGUAUCAGGCUAAAUGGAUGUAUAAUGUCUACUACAUAUCUGAAACAUGCACAUGGUGUUGGUCAAUAUGCAGGAGAAUUUCCAUGGUAAAUUUGCAACAUAUCAGAAAUUAAAACAUAUGUCAAUACAUUCUAGUAUCAGGGAUUUCGAACCAUGUAUUCGAAUUUUAUAGAUUUCACGAGUUGUGUAUACCCAGACAUGAAAAAAUAUCGCAAGAACAAUGUAUGACACUCAAACUCUAAAAUCUUUCACCAAACUUGCACAAUGUUUAGAAUAAUUUCUAGGCAAUCAUUUUUUUUUUCUCUCUUCUAUCAAUUCAACGAAAGUUUGUGUAUAUAAACAAAUCCCUAAAAAAAAUUCCAAAUGUACAAAUGGCAUAUAAACUAGGUGAAAAACAUAUCCCAAAUUUGAGAUAUUUUCGUAAAUAUACUGAUUCAGAGUGUGAAAUAUCUCCCUGGAGAUAGAGAUUUUCGGUUGUAGAUACGGCAAUUUCUAUGAUCCUGUCGAGUGUAGCAAUCACGGUGUGGUCAAACAACGAAAGCCUUUCUUCUUCUUCAAUCAAAUCAGAUUUUUGAAGUGUUUUUCUUUUUAGGAAGAGGUGUUUAAUGGGAGGCACGAAGGAUGGAGUAUUAAAACAUUUCAGUUACAAGAUAGUAUUUUCAGUAUUAUUUAGUUGAUUUUUUUUUUUUUUUUUUUUGGGUUCUAAUUUUGGAAAAUGGUAAUUUUUAAUAUAUUUCAUAAUCAAGAUAGUUUUUUGGUGUUUUAAACGUUACCUAGUAAAACCUGAAAUAAUAUUUUCAAAUGAUGCAUUUACAAAUUUUUUGGAUUAAAUAUUUGACUAGCUUAUGUUUAAUGGUGGGUAAACUACAUAAAAAUAUAUUUAUAAUUACCAGAAAGAGAAAUCAAAAUCUCUUAUGUUUGUUCUCCUGUGCGGCUUAUCAUCAGAGGCUAGACAAUUAGACAAAUGUGGUAUGAAAAGAUCGUGACUCACAAAGGGGUACAAAGAUAUCAAUUGUUUAUUAUCAAAAUUCUCAAAGGGGUUAGAAGGCCUUGCUAUAUGUAAAAUUCUAAUCAUGAUAUCUAUCUACAUAAAAAGAAGAUCCUUGAAGGGAACUAAAAUUAUUUUUAAAUUUCAUUGUGCAUGUAUAAGUAAAUUUCUAACUAUACCAUAUAUUGACGGAGACUUGAAAUCUUUAGUAUCAACCUUGAUACUUUUGGCCUCUUAGAUAUAUCAUAGAACAAUUUAUCUGGCUCAGUCCUGUCUUGCUUCAAUAAAUCAAGCAUAAGUUUGGUCUAUCUUAACAAUAACCACUUGGAAGGUGCUCUUACCCAUGGAUUAUUUAACAAUUCUUUUUGGUGACAAUGGAUCUUAGAGAGAAUAAAUUCAUAGGAAGUAUCCCUCAAUGGAUUGGCAAUCUAGCAAUCUUGAGCAUUAUUCUACUUGGAGGCAAUCAUUUUGAAGGCAUAAUUCCUUACCAAUUAUACCAAAUAAGGGUUAGCAAGUAGACCUAUCUUAUAAUAGCCUCAAUGGUUAGAUGCCACACUAUUUGGGUAACAUAACACUAGAGGUAAACGAGAUAAUGUAUAUCAUGGUUCGGGAGAUACCUUUUCCUCAGUAGUCACAUUCAGGUCAUUGUUGGGUUGGUGCCUCUUCAGCGUUAACAAUGGAUUUGGAGGAAGGCAAUUUUGAGUUUACCUCAUUUUCAUCUCUCUCUAGAGAAUAUAGAUAAUGGUGGAUGCCUUGGCAAAAACUUGGGGGACAACUAUCAAGUGAAAAUGGUAAUGUUUCGAAUUGAAUCUUUCUACAUUGUAGAAAGAAGCCGCGUACUUCCUUCCCUUAUGAGUAAAGGAAAACCAUAAUAAAGUUUGGUUAUAAAAAACGAAGAGGAUUGAAUGAAAGCCCAAUACAUGAUGGGAUGCCUCUUUCAAAAAAAAAAAAAGAAAGAAAAAAAAAAAAGACAACCUGGAUUAGAUUGAGUUCUAAAGGGCCUGCCAUGUGUCUCUCCAAAAAGUAGAAGAAUUCGGAUUCAAGGAUGGGCAAAUUACGGUAACAUUACAACAAAGAAAAAUUUGUAUUCUUACAAGGGUAGUAUCCUCAACCACACAUCAAGAAUUGAUCUUUCUUCUAAUUAUAAAUUAUAUGGUGAAGUUUUAGAUGAACAUGGAGAGUUAAGGGAGAUUUGUGAACUAAACUUGUCCCACAACAAUCUUAGUGGGACAAUUCCAUCAACAUUCUCAAAUCUACGUCAAUUCAAUAGUUUGGAUAUCUCCUAUAACAACUAAUGAUGGACAAUCCCCACUGGCUUGAUCAAGUUAAACUCCUUAGAUGACUUUAGUUUGGUGUGUAAUAGUUGGAAACAAAAGACAUCUCUCAAUUUAAGUUUUCCAUUCAAAUAUAAUUGAUAAAUGUAUAUAAUGAGAGUCCUAUGCGAUGGGGUCUGAAGUUGAGGACAUGUUACACUACAAAAGAGUUUAAAUUCACGAGCUUCAACAAACCUAAAAGGUAGCUCAUCUAGUAUUACCAUCUUAGCACAUGCAACUUUGACCUCUUCCUUACUAUGACCAAUAGCUAUAAGAUUGCUCCCAUUACCCUCUUUUCGAUUCUCAAAAGAUAUGAUGUUUUGCUUCUUGUCUUGCAAUAGACCAGAAUACUUCUUACAAUUAUUCAUGAAGUGGGUACCCAAAGUGCUUGUGCCAUACUUAUAGCCACAAGCAUAAUCUACUCCACACUAGUUACACUUACGCCUAACAUUUGGAUCAUCCCUUGGACCCAAUAAUGCAAAGAAAUCACAGACACAUGAAGCUAUUCCAUGAAAUUUUCACUUUCCUAAUGUUGAUAGUGGAUGUGGAGGAAGACUUGAUAGCAUAUAUGUGUCAUAUAAUUGAGCUGGCAUGUCAUUUUCUUCACACAUAUUGAUAUCAACCAACAUAUUCCACCAAAAAGUACUAAUCAAACAAAUAAAACUACAAAAGUAUUAAUGCACCAUAAGAAAGCAAGAAUAUUGCACCCGUGUCCAUUUUACUUGAGGCUUUUGCAAAUAACAACAAAACACGUUAACUUGCAUUAGUAUUACCAUGAGAAAAAAAAGAUUAUUAUUACCACCAUGAAAUAAACUGAAUUUAAAGAAUAUGUGCUUUACAAACUUCAAUAGACGUGUGGUUGGAAGCUCCAAACUAUACAAAAGAAUAAUAGUCACAAUGCACAAACACUGAUAAUAACAUUUAUCAUAUUCGUGCACUUCCAAUUGCAAUCUCGUAUCUACUCAUAAUGUACUGCAAGUGCAUUAUUUUGCAUUAAACCAUUCUCAUGGUAUUCAUAUUUACAUCUUCCAUAUUCGUUAGGCAUAUUGCAAUCUAGAACAAAUCGCAUUUUUUGCGAUGAUAAAAUAAGAAGAUAAACACCAGACUUAUGGAACAUUAUUUAUUUAUUUUUUACAAAUUUUUUGGGAUUCAUUCAUAGCAUCAUCUUGCCGAUAAUUUUUAGUUUAUCAUCAAAUAACUUUGCAUUUGUACAUAGUAUUCCUGCAACUAACCAUGUCUAGAAAAAAGGAACAAUUAUACAUUUUAAGCCAUUCUUUUGUCUCCAGUAAUGUAUCUAUUUAGUCUAACAUCAAUUAAUUUCACAAGGUAUUCUAACUAUAAUUAAAAUGUAAUCAACUUCAUAAUGAUAUAAUGUUGCUAACCAAUUAAUAUCAGUUACUAUCUUUGUUAGAUAUUAUUAAUCAACUUUCUUAAACAACAACAACAACAAAAUGAACAAAUUAAACCAAAGUGAGCUAAAUGAAUAUACAACAGUUUUUAAUUUUAUUUUUUUUCCCCAAACAACUAAGAACCCCCGAAAGCAAAACACAGAACCCAAAUAUUAAUUCAAUUAUUCAGAAUUUUGACGUCCAAACUAAUGUAAAACUGGAAUGGACAAAUGAAUUAAUAAAAUAUAGAAUUGUUUCCGGCUGUCGGUGAGUAAUUGUUAUACGGAUUUAAUGAUAUAAACAAUAACCAGGUUACCUCUAGUGAUCAAUUGAAUAUUCUCUCGGUAGAUGCAUUUUUUAAAAUCAAAUUUCAAGGGAUAUAUAAUAUAUUCUAAAGAAUGGGAUUGCCAACUAUACAGGAAAAAAAUCAAUACCAUAUGCUUACUCCAUACAAUUCCUUCAAGUUGGAUAAUUAAACAACAACUUUAAUUUUAAGUUCAGCAAACCUUGUAAUUGGGAAUCUUGUCCUUCAAUUCAAGCAUUUAGCACAAAAAUCACGUCAAAAAAGUGAGACGAGAGACUGAGGCACGAGCAGAAGCGAGAGAAUAUGAGAGGUGGAAGAGACGAGAGGCACAGAAGAAAAUUGAAAACUGAAUGGUUUGAAAUUGAUUUUUAGGUUUUUAAGUACUAUUUUUCUGUAAUAUUUUUUUAUUUAUUGGGUUGGGUUGGGU
This 8485-nucleotide long non-coding RNA is filed under the name Olea europaea (common olive). Its description in RNAcentral is "long non-coding RNA (OEUR_LNC002861)". Lineage: Eukaryota; Viridiplantae; Streptophyta; Magnoliopsida; Lamiales; Oleaceae. The record is from RNAcentral.